Molecule: microRNA, 21 nt
Filed under: Parasteatoda tepidariorum (common house spider)
Lineage: Eukaryota; Metazoa; Arthropoda; Arachnida; Araneae; Theridiidae
Description: pte-miR-11948-5p
Source: miRBase by way of RNAcentral
UAUACGACUUUUCAACAACUU